This 227-nucleotide ribosomal RNA is filed under the name Salmonella enterica subsp. enterica serovar Agona str. SA-3. RNAcentral's name for it is "partial 23S ribosomal RNA". It matches the Rfam family "Bacterial large subunit ribosomal RNA", at positions 2706 to 2925 of the family's 2925-position model. RNAcentral also lists the same sequence under 1 other name. Lineage: Bacteria; Pseudomonadati; Pseudomonadota; Gammaproteobacteria; Enterobacterales; Enterobacteriaceae. The record is from RNAcentral.
UCACUGGUGUUCGGGUUGUCAUGCCAAUGGCACUGCCCGGUAGCUAAAUGCGGAAGAGAUAAGUGCUGAAAGCAUCUAAGCACGAAACUUGCCCCGAGAUGAGUUCUCCCUGAGACUUAGAGUCUCCUGAAGGAACGUUGAAGACGACGACGUUGAUAGGCCGGGUGUGUAAGCGCAGCGAUGCGUUGAGCUAACCGGUACUAAUGAACCGUGAGGCUUAACCUUAC